CUGGAACAGGAACUUCCUCUAGUAACGCCACAGGAGCCAGACCUCGUCUGCCAUUCACCUGAAACACAUAGUCACUCAAUUUCAAUGAAACACAGUAACUGAAAAGGAACACAUCAAGACCGUUGGACUUGCUGAGUCGGAUGAGGUGGACCUUCUCCGCAUAGAGACCGUUGGAGCCCAGGGUUUGAACACUGAUGUGGACCGGGCCGGACAGAUCCAGAUUCUCCAGAAUACACUGAAAGAGAGGACAAGAUACACAUUGUCAUCUUCAACCAUUCAACUGAUGAUAC
Oncorhynchus keta (chum salmon) is the source of this 290-nucleotide long non-coding RNA. RefSeq lists it as uncharacterized. The record is from RefSeq and is a predicted model, not a curated record. The transcript is spliced from 3 exons. NCBI's taxonomy places the organism in Eukaryota, Metazoa, Chordata, Actinopteri, Salmoniformes, Salmonidae.